This 24-nucleotide non-coding RNA is filed under the name Arabidopsis thaliana (thale cress). Lineage: Eukaryota; Viridiplantae; Streptophyta; Magnoliopsida; Brassicales; Brassicaceae. The record is from RNAcentral.
UCCCAGAGAUUUAUGCGUAUGGUC